GCAACAGCACAGAGCAGCCAAACAGCCUUCCAAACAGCCAGGGCCGCUACUCUGUUUAGGGGGCGGCUGGGCGUACUGUGGGGCAUAAGCAGGAGGAGGAGGACCAUAUCCCGGUGGUGGAUAUCCCUGUGGAGGAUAUGCCGGUGGCGGAUAAGCAUCUUUGGGAUACCCUUCUGGUGGAUAACCUAUAUCAAGAAAUCAAUUCAUACACGGAAAUUAGAACCAAAACCUCAUCAAUAAUAACAUCAGAUCUAAUUGAUCCCAUCAAGUAAUCCAACACUAACAAAAACAAAACAAAACCCUCAACUUCCUAACAACUUAAGAACAAGAACACCACAAAAAAUUGGAAAAUAAAGAAAAAGAAUCAACUAAUACUAGUGAAACAAGAGACCCAAAAUCUUUAAUGCAAGAAGAAGAAAGAAUUGAAAGUGGGUUUACCUUGAGGAGGUGGGACACCG
Molecule: unclassified non-coding RNA, 458 nt
Filed under: Hevea brasiliensis (rubber tree)
Lineage: Eukaryota; Viridiplantae; Streptophyta; Magnoliopsida; Malpighiales; Euphorbiaceae
Source: RNAcentral